UCUGGUUAGAGGAAUAGGCAGAUGUUUGUCUCUCAGUAAAGGAGAUCAUCCGUGCUUUGCACACUUGCCUUUCUUCUAGCUAUUUAAGCUUUUUCUGAUGCAGAUGCCACCCUGGAGCAUACCUUACUGUGAGCUUGUGAAGUGGCUCCUAGAACAUAUUUUCCGGCUAAGGUAGAAGAUGUUUCCUAGGGAGGACACCAGAACAGGAGAAAUAAAGUCAUAGAAAAAACAGUUCCUGGACCGGGAACCCAGGCCCAGCCCUGACACUGAGUCUCUCUGCUCCCAUGGACCAGGCACUUUUUCUCUCCAAACCUGUAAUCUAGAAAGUUUCUUUUCUAGUUCUAAAAAUCUGUGAUUCUAGGUACUGUGAAAACAAAAAAUAAGAAAGUAAGGGUAAAGAAAAUGGAGUGGAACGCUAAUAGAUGGGAAUUCAUUCAUUCACUUACUCAUUUAUUCAUUCAUUCUUCCUUUGUAUCUUCUAGCAAGAUGUCAUGGAGCCCCUAUUAAAUGAGAGGCGGGGACUGCUCACUCUCCCAGACAAGGGGGUGAGGAAAAAGGAUCACUAUUUGCUAGCACCAAGUAAAGCCCACCGUUGUCCACUGUGCAGUUAAUUCGGACCAGUGCAGGUAGCCAGAUGACAGACUGAGAGCUGGAUUCACAGGUUCCAUUCACUCAUCUCUAUAUUUCAAUGUGACCCUGAAGCAACAGAGGCUAAAAUAAGAGCAAUAGGAAAAAUCACCCCUGUUUAAAAAUAAAUGAUGAAUACAAACCUCACACCAUAUUGGAUUCCAAAGACCACAGAACUGCCAUGCCAGAACCAAAAAGAUAAGGCAGCAACAUAUACAGGAUAGAGCUUGAACUAGAAAUCUGGGUUGUUGCCCGUGAUCUGUCACCAACUACAACAUUGGUGUAGCUCUGAUCAAGGUACCUUCCAUCUCUGAGUCUUAGUCUCCUGUUCUUUAAAGUCUGGCCUGAGCUUAAACUGGAUUUUCUCCAAGGCCUCUUCCAGGUCUAAUGUUACAUGAUCGGUCGCUGAUAUUAUUCCAUAAGGUAGUAUUCCCUUCUAAAAACAGCAAAACACAAAUUCCUCAAAGCCAAAGGCAACACCUUUGUUUCCUUUGCAUGGCUGAUUAAAUUAAUGCAAACCAAGCAGGCUUUCACCGGAGAGCCUGGGAAAUUGCCGGAUAUUUGGGGAAGAUUACUGAGGUUAGUGCACAGUUGUCUUUGGCUAAGAUGUGCAGUCCUUCAGAGUUUUCUUGGAGUUUUGAUUAAGCAUAAAAUAGAGAAGCUCAAGCUAUGUAGACUCUCUAACCAAAAAUGCUUCUCAAGAAGGGCUCUUUUAUCACUUGCUAUAAGGGAGGUAUAUUUAUUCUUUGAAUCAUUUUUUAUAUCUCCAUUCCAUUCUUUGUGGUCGCAUAAAGCACACACAUCUAUUUACAGCCCUUCAAGGUAAGUACAAUCGUCCCCCUUUUAUAGAUGAGGAAAACAGGACUAACAGACAUGAGCUAAUUGGCCCAAACUGGAAAAUUGAAAUCCAGGUCUUACUGAUUCAAAAGCCUGAGCUUUUCCACAAAAUCAAUGGUUCCCAAGUAAUUCAUUCUAAAACUAAUGCUUGAGACACAUAUGAAUUUGGAGGAACCUUAGGAAUCCCUGUAUUAGCCACACAAAAGAAUAGCAGGGCUUCCUGGGCCCAUGGAAGAAGGUGACAAAGAAUAAAGGUGGAAUAUAAUGUCCGUGCUACAUCACAUAUGACAUGCUCUGACUUAGGACGCUUAAAAUUGGGAGCCUAAUUUUUGGUCUUGCUUCUCUAGCCCAUUAUUUCUAAAAAUAACACAUUUUUACUUUUCUAUAUUUCACAGGAUAUGGCAGAGUCUCCUUGAGAAAAACAAAGCAAAGAUGCUUUGCAAGUAAAUAUAUGCUGAAUGAAUGAAUUACCACAAGUUAUUCAUUCUCUGUUCAUUAAUUAAUGUUGCUUCAUUCAUCAGCUGCAUUGUCCAAUUUACUUUAGCAGACCGGCUGUCAUCAACUCCAGAGAGCUUAUGAAGGGUUGAGAUAAUUAGUCUCAAUACCCUUAAGGAGAAGUGGAGGUACAGUCUUGCUCUCUUGAAGAAUUGCACACUAAGAAACCACAAACCAGCAUCUAACGAGAUGGAAAUUCUGCAGCAGGCUGCCUGCCGCCCGAUGUGCCCAGCAGAGCCGGCUUAAAAUGCAGGAAACACCUGUGGAGCGAUUGACAUGACAAGAACUGAGAUGGGGCAGUUCUGAUACAACUGACAAAGAAUUAGCAGUACAGAGCAUGAGACCCUGCAUAAAGACAAAUGGGAGAAGCCGAAGCGCAAGGUGUCAGCAGGUUUCGUCUCUUCUGAGGCCUCUCUCCUUGGCUUGCAGAUGGCCUCCUUCUCGCUGUGUCCUCACGUGGCCUUUUUUCUCCAUGUGCGUGCAUCCGUCGUGUCUCUCUUAUUCUUGGAAGAAAAACAUGUGCCUUCUGCUAACUGUCUGGUGUGUCCAGUUCUGAAUGUCAAGACCAAGUCCUGAAAAUGGGUACUGGGGACGACUUAAGAGGUGAGUCAAGGUGGGUCUCACCCACUGGAUCAGAGGGGGCUUCUCCACCACUGGGAGCAAAAACCUGUCUUCUACAGAUGGCAGAGCAGAGAAUGUUCCCCUUUCAAGAAGGCCCACUUAACUUGAUUUUUUUUCUUAAAGCUUUUCAUUCCCUCACUCAGCAUUUGUCAAGCACCUUGUAUGUGUCAAGCUGAUGAUAGGCAUUGAUGCUACACAGAUGGUUAUAACCUGGUCCAGCAAAAUCUCUUGCUGUCUGGUAGGGACCAGGCAAAUACAAAUGGAUGAGUUAAAGUCCUGCAUAAUAGAUACCUCAUUGGAACUAUGAACCAAUGACUCCAGAGAAAGAGCCACACCUGACUGCCUGUCAUCUUCUGACAGAGGAUGUCAUGUUGUAUGCGGUGUGAUCAUCUACCAAGAUCCUAGGACCAAUUAUAUGGCUCAUUGACCUGCACGGGUACCUGGAACUUCAGCUCAAACAUUUACGAUAACCAAGCAUCCAAAAGCUAUGAAAACACAGAACUGGCAGCCAAUCCAUUAAAUCACUCAAACAUCUAUUAACUAGCAAUUGUAUAAAAUUUGCUGGAUUUGAGCACUGUAAGGGUAUAGAAGGGCAAAUGAAGAUCAAUAACAGGAGAGGAAAGAGAAGAGUAAAACAGUUAGCAUCUGUUGAUGGCCAGGCAUCAUAUUAAGUAUUUCAUAUAUAUUAUUUAAUUCUGAAAGGAUCUUUUUGUAAGUUAAGAAGCUGAGGUGACAUGAGUUGCUCAAGUUCACACAGACAGCAAAGGGUGAGCCAUUGCAAUGCAAAGCCCAUGUCCAAUUCCUCACUCCUUGCUACUCUAGCAAGAGUUCUGGGGGUAAGUUUUGUAAGGAGAGAAAGAAAAGAGAGAAAAUCCUUGACAGUAAGUGAAGCAAAAGCCUGGAUAUCUGAAUGGGAGGAGACACCGUUGCAGAGCCCAUCCGUCCUGAUUUUCCCAGAGGCACGGGAGCAGAGCACGUCCCCACCGAACCUAAGCACGCGGAAAGAUGCCCACAGAUUGCUGCAUUUGUAUUUUUACUGAGCCAGCAUUGAGGAAUUCCACAGACACAUAUGUUGUGUACAUACGUGGGCUAUCACUUUUUAGGUGGAUGUACGUGUUAGGAUUAUCGAAAUAAGCAUCCAUUUAAAAGAAUGAU
RNAcentral lists this long non-coding RNA (3735 nucleotides) under Homo sapiens (human). Its description in RNAcentral is "HSALNT0366341". Lineage: Eukaryota; Metazoa; Chordata; Mammalia; Primates; Hominidae. The record is from RNAcentral.